GGUGAAGAACGUAGCGAAAUGCGAUAAGUAGUGUGAAUUGCAGAAUUCAGUGAAUCAUCGAAUCUUUGAACGCACAUUGCGCCCUUUGGUAUUCCAAAGGGCAUGCCUGUUCGAGCGUCAUUUGUACCCUCAAGCUUUGCUUGGUGUUGGGCGUCUUGUCUCUAGCUUUGCUGGAGACUCGCCUUAAAGUAAUUGGCAGCCGGCCUACUGGUUUCGGAGCGCAGCACAAGUCGCACUCUCUAUCAGCAAAGGUCUAGCAUCCAUUAAGCCUUUUUUUCAACUUUUGACCUCGGAUCAGGUAGGGAUACCCGCUGAACUUAAGCAUAUCAAUAAGCGGAGGA
This 341-nucleotide unclassified non-coding RNA is filed under the name soil metagenome. RNAcentral's name for it is "partial contains 5.8S ribosomal RNA, internal transcribed spacer 2, and large subunit ribosomal RNA". The stretch from base 3 to 120 matches the Rfam family "5.8S ribosomal RNA", at positions 37 to 154 of the family's 154-position model. The record is from RNAcentral.